RNAcentral lists this transfer RNA (75 nucleotides) under Caudoviricetes sp. RNAcentral's name for it is "tRNA-Thr". It matches the Rfam family "tRNA". Rfam says of the family: Transfer RNA (tRNA) molecules are approximately 80 nucleotides in length. Their secondary structure includes four short double-helical elements and three loops (D, anti-codon, and T loops). Lineage: Duplodnaviria; Heunggongvirae; Uroviricota; Caudoviricetes. The record is from RNAcentral.
GCUGGCGUGGCGCAAUGGUAGCGCAAGUGAUUUGUAAUCACUAGGUUGCAGGUUCGACCCCUGUCGCCAGCUCCA